Molecule: ribosomal RNA, 262 nt
Filed under: uncultured bacterium
Lineage: Bacteria
Description: partial small subunit ribosomal RNA
Rfam family: Bacterial small subunit ribosomal RNA
Source: RNAcentral
AGAAUGAACGCUGGCGGCGUGCUUAACACAUGCAAGUCGAACGGAAUCCAAGGAGCUUGCUCCGAAAGAUUUAGUGGCGAACGGGUGAGUAUCACGUGAGCAACCUGCCCCCGAAGACUGGGAUAACACCGGGAAACCGGUGCUAAUACCGGAUGUCUUUCAAUGAUCGCAUGAUCGAUGAAAGAAAUGUUUUUUCGCUUUGGGAGGGCUCGCGGUCCAUCAGCUUGUUGGCGGGUAACGGCCCACAAGGCUACGACGGGUA